AUGCCGCUCCUGCUCCAGCGCCUCGUCGCCGCCGUCGCCGCCGCGGCUCCCCUCCGCCGCUACCUCUGCACGGCGGUCCCACGCCCUCCCUGGGCCAUGGUGAACAGCCAGGCGGCGCUGGACGCGUCAGGGGCGCCGUCGCAGAGCGCGCGCGCGCUCGUCGACCUCAACAGCACCCCCUGCGUCUCCCACCUCUCCGUCCCCGCUCGCCUCGUCGCCCCCCACGGCGACGACAUGGGUUCCCUCGUGGGCAUCGUCCGCGGCGCCAGCUGCGACGGCCUCCUCCUCCUCGACUUCAUCGACGCCCGCCACCGCCCCUUGUGGCCACACGAGUUCGCCGCGGCCCGCGGCGGCGUGGAACCGGAGGGCGAGCUCUUCGUCUGCAACCCUCUCAGCGGGCAGCUGGUCCGCCUCCCGGCCCCGGGCAUGGAUGUCCCCAAAAUGGGAAGUACCUCUUUCGGCCUGCUCACCCAAUCUCAAGGCUCACACGGCCCGCCUGACAGGUACGCCGUCGCUCAGCUCAGCAAAAGCAGUCGCGGGGGAGGGGAGUGCCGCAGGGUCGUGCGCCGGUUUCUGUCCGAGACAGGGGAGUGGGACGAGCGGCCGCUGGUCGGGGUGGCCGAGAUGGACACUGCGCGGAGCAUGCUGAUCAACCAUGAGGUGCUGGCGUUCGGCGACCGGCUGUGGUGGGUGGACGUGGCCUGGGGCGCCUGCUCCGUCGACCCCUUCAGCGACCGGCCGGAGCGCCGCUUCGCCGAGCUGCCGCGCUCCAGCGUGCUGCCUGUUUCUGAUUCCCCGACGCUGAGCAGGUACCGGCGCAUGGGGGUCAGCGACGGGAAGCUGCGCUACGUCCAAGUGUCCCAUGGACACAAGCACGACAAGUGGUGCGUGAUCCUUUCCUUUUCGCUGGAUGACGAGACCUACAGCUGGGCGCUGGAUCAGGGAGUUGAAAUUACAGGUCGGCACGACCCUUGCUAUGUUCAAAUUGCUGCCAUAGAUCCAUUCAAUGCCGACCUUGUGUACCUCCAACAUGGUAGUGCUGUUAUUGCCAUGGACCUGGCUGAGGGGGAGGAGAUUUGGAGGGGUUACCUGGCCAAGGAAUUCGCCUUUCAGAAGUUGCUCCACUGUAGUCUUCUUGUUCCGUGCGUGCUCCCAACAUGGCUUGCCACAAGCCAUAUCCCUUCUGCAGGAACCCUUUCAAGCAACAAGGCCGAUUGCAAAAGGAAGAGUUUGGCAGACAUGCUGGUUCGCGUAGACAAAUGCUAG
RNAcentral lists this ribosomal RNA (1266 nucleotides) under Triticum aestivum (bread wheat). Its description in RNAcentral is "partial small subunit ribosomal RNA". Lineage: Eukaryota; Viridiplantae; Streptophyta; Magnoliopsida; Poales; Poaceae. The record is from RNAcentral.